AACAAGAUGAGUUUGGUGAUGGCUCUGAUUGAACGCUGUCCAAAUGCUUGACACAUGCUAAUCGAACGUUUAAUUCGAUGCUCUCCGGGUUAGUACCCUGGGCGACCAUGAGUUUGAAUGUAAUGGGUGUAAUAUUUAUAUAGGAUCUAUACCCUUAAUGAAAGGGAUGGUAAGGGUUUACUUACUUUUUAUCAAGAUUUGUAACAUAUAAUAUAUUGGAGGUCUAUUAAAAGUGGUGUACAGGUGAGUGAAAGAUAAUCGGCCGGCCUUGAAGAGAGGGAAUAUCCAAAUCCGUCAUAAAAAGAAAAUAGUCCGCAGGCUAUUUUUGGAUAAAGGGUGUAAUAGCGCCGCUUCAAGAGGAAAAGAUAUCUGCGGGAUAGGUAGUAGUUAAGGUAAUGGCUUAACUAGCCAACAAUUCUCGGAGUCGAAGCUGAAAUGGUUGAUCGACCACAUUGGGGAUGAAAAAAUCCCAAUGCGCUAAAGUACAGCAGUGAGGAAUUUUGGUCAAUGGCCUAGCGGCUGAACUGGCAACUUGGACGAACGGACCGGCAACUUUCCUGAGGGGUUGCAUAAUUUUGUAGCCUGUAAGGAUGGUCGGAUGAUCUUUUUUAGGAAUAAAGUUCUUAGUAUAUAUUAGAUAAUGACAGAUAUAUAUCUUAUGCCCUGACCAAUUACGUGCCAGCAGUCGCGGUAAUACGUAUGGGACUAGUGUUAUUCAUCUUAAUUGGGUUUAAAGGGUACCUAGACGGCUAAUGUCCACCUUAAAUUUAGGUAACUAAUCAGCUAGAGUUUUAUAUAAAGAGGCCGAACUCGUGGAGGAGAGUUUAAAUUCAUUGAUACCACGGGGACGGACAACGGCGAAGGCAGCUUCUUAUGUACAAACUGACGUCGAGGGACGAAGGCAUUGCGGCACGAAAAGGAUUAGGGACCCUAGUAGUCUUUGCAGAAAAUGAUGCAUGCCAUAGAUUAGGAAGUUGACCUUCUUGGUUUAUAAACGAAAGUGAAAGCGUGUCACCUCAAGAGUAAUGCGGCAACGCAGAAACUGAAAUCACUAGACCGUUUCUGACACCAGUAGUGAAGUAUGUUGUUUAAUUCGAUGAUCCACGAAAAAUCUUACCACAAUUUGAAUAGAAUAAACUUAUCUGACAGGCUCGUGGUUACUUAUUGCUGAAAGGUAAAAUUACUUUUAAUAAUACUUACUUAGAUGUGUGCAGGGCUACAAAACUGUCUUAUGCUAAAUUUAUUUUUAGUAAUAUUACUCUUGGUAUUGGUCAUCACGAGACCUAUAGGAGUUUAUUCAUACAAGUGUUGCACGGCUGUUUCCAGUUGAUGUUGUGAAACUGUGGCAAAAGCCAUGUAAUCAACGUAAACCCGAGCUCUAUUUGUAAAAAUAUUAUGAUAGAGCUAAAUCAUCCGCUUAUAUUGGAUUUGAUAACAGGGACUAAGACAAGUCAUCAUGGCCUUAAUAUUGUGGGCUAUAGACGUGCCACAUAUGCCAUAACAAAGAGAUGCGAAAUAGCGAUAUUGAGCUAAUCUCACAAAAAUGGUUAAAAAAUAUAUGGAUUGCAGCCUGUAACUCGGCUGCAUGAAUAAGAAAUUGCUAGUAAUCGUGAAUCACUAUGUCACGGUGAAUCUAACUUUGGAUUGGUACUAACCACUCGUCACAUGCUGAGAGUUGUAUGCGCAAUAAGUUUGCUUUCUUAUUAUAAGCUCAUGUAAAAUGGAAACAUUCUUAAUAUAAGGUUCUUCGUAUGCGUGAUGGCAAUUGGUGUUAAGUCGAAAUACGGUUCGUGUAGUGGAAGUUGCACGGGAUUAAUGAAUCUUAACGUAAAAUAUGUCCGUAUGUGGGUCCUGCUCGUAAGAGUUCACAUACGCAUUAUUUAUUUAAUACUGAUAGGUAAUGUAAAAGACAAGGGACCACCCAGGAUAUUGUAAGAUAUCUGGGUAUGGCACAGUAGAUAUUCAGGACAGCGGAUUCUACCUAGAACGGAGCCUACACCGCCUAAUGGCGGAGGUGCUGAUCACGGUAGCAAGCGGGGUCAUAAAUCAGAGCAUUGUUGCGAGUUAUGAUAUCUCGACGGGG
Molecule: non-coding RNA, 2083 nt
Filed under: Ophiognomonia clavigignenti-juglandacearum
Lineage: Eukaryota; Fungi; Ascomycota; Sordariomycetes; Diaporthales; Gnomoniaceae
Description: SSU rRNA
Rfam family: Bacterial small subunit ribosomal RNA (bases 1-1824)
Source: RNAcentral